This 384-nucleotide ribosomal RNA is filed under the name Triticum aestivum (bread wheat). RNAcentral describes it as "partial small subunit ribosomal RNA". Lineage: Eukaryota; Viridiplantae; Streptophyta; Magnoliopsida; Poales; Poaceae. The record is from RNAcentral.
AUGAGUACAUCUCAACUUUUACUGUAUUUCUUAUUGACAACUAGUGUUGCGCAUAACGGCUUACCCGCCCUGGCAAUUUUGCUGCCCUUCUCAUGCAUCCUAGGCCUCUUCUCAUCACUGACCACAACAAGCAUGGUGGCGAGGAGAUGUGUGGAUCUACGCGGCGAUCCAGUUCCUCUUCGUCUUGUUCUUCACGCAUCUGUUCUACAGAUAUCUGCAUCUGCAGGCUGUGAUAUCCAUCAUCCUGACAACCUUACCAUGACACUACUAUUAUUGGACAAUUUUUACACUCAUCUCUACCUGGAGAACAAAUUCCUUAGUGCAAUUAAUCGAUUGAAUUUACACUCAUAUGCAGAUUGCGUAGAAAAAUUGACUGUAUUUUGA